UUUUAAAUUCGGCCGGAUGCGGCUGCAGAACUGAGGUGGUGCGGGAUGAGGCUGAAUGGCGAUGAACUUGGCUCCGCUGCGUCCACCGCAGUGAGCGGAGCGGCCAGGUCUGCCCAGUAUGUCAAGAAGCAGAUGAAGGCGAGCAGCCCAUGGAGAUGACAGGCCCCGCUGAGAGCCCACACGAGGCUGUCCCCGAAGGCGGGGAGCUAGAAGGGCGCCCAGACUGACCAGAGGACCUGCGGCAGGAACGAGGAGGACGUGGGAAAAUUGUUCGUUGGUAGCCUGAGCCCCAAAAAGGCCAUAGCUGUGAAGAAGGAUCCUGUGAAGAAAAUCUUUGUGGGGGUCUGAACCCUGAAUCCACUGAGAAGAGAAGAGAGUACUUUUGCAAGUUUGGGGAGAUUGAGGCCAUUGAGUUUUCAUUGGAUCCAGAGUCUAAUAAAAGACGAGGUUCUGUUUUUAUCACCUUUAAAGAAGAGGAACCUGUGAGAAAUAUCCUGGAGAAGUUCCGCACCAUCGGUGGCAGCAAGGUAAGGAGUUUCCAGCUCCAUGUGCCUGUAUUCCUGUUUCUGGAGAGCUAGCCCCUGGGCUAGUGGGGAACCUAGUAGGGUAACCAGUCAUCCCCAUUGCAAGUAUCCCGGGAAACUCUUCCCUAGAAUGUAGAAGGUCAUGAGUGUGGAAGUUUGGAGGAAAAGUACAAAACCCAUAUAGUGGUCCACAAAAGAGGGGCUGAAAGCAACACAGUCUUUAGUGUCAAAUGGAUAUUGCAUAGAUUAUGCACCUUCUGUAGUUGCUGUUGCCCACUUUCCCCUGACCACUGAUGUUGGCAACUAUAAUUUGUGCUUGACAAUAAUGAUUUAUCUGUUCAGUGGUUGCAUCCGUCAGAGAGGUGCGACUUAAGUGUAUCAUAAUUAUGAAUAUUAACAGACCAUCUUUGACUUUGCCUGUGGAUUAACUGUUGUGCUUUGUGUCAGGAUAAUGCUAGUUUCAUUUUUUAAAAAUGACUAUUGUGACCAUGUUUUCUAAGAGGUCUGAUAAUGGAAAUGAGAAUGAUGAAAAGACCAACGCAAGCAUGAUCCCAUCACUGAAAAAGAAGGCUAAAUGACUCUGUUAUUUAAUGACAGAUGGAAGGACACAUACAACUGGAUUAGGGAGGUAAAUCACCCAAACAGAGCACACUGCACACUAUGCAGAAAAGAAUGUGGGGUUGGGCAUGGUGGAGAAGGGGAUGUGAAAGCACAUAUGGAGACCGUAGCUCACAAGUCCAGGAUGAGACAGGCCAGCGCUUCUAAACCAGUCGAAAGUGUUUUCAUGUCCCAAAAAGACACCAAUGUUCAGUCAAAAAUAGCAGCUGUUGAAUUAGCCUGGGCAUACCACAUGAACAAACAUGCGUUAUCAUAUCGUUCCCUUGAUUGUUCUAUGAAACUGAGUAAAGUUACAUUUCCUGAUUCAGAGGUUGCAACUAAAGUAUCCUGUGGGUGAACAAAAGGAGCAGUUUUGAUCACAGAUGUGUUGGCCCCUUACAGCAUAGAGCUGAUUCUGUCAUUUCUUACCAACAAUCAUGUUUUCUUCAGCAUGUCAACUUCAAGCAAUGAGCCGAAUCAUGGCAACAAAAACCUGUUCCCAUUAGCCCUUAGAUACUUUGACUUGAAAGAUGGAGUUUCAAAUAGUCUUCUUGAUUUCUAUGAGGAUUCUAAAGAAACUGCUGAAAUCAUAUAACAAAAGAUUGUUGCUAUUUUGUCCAAAUACAAAAUAGACUUAACUCAUCUAUCUACAUUUUCAUCAGACAUUGCAAAUGCAAGUUGUGGCAAAUUCCAUUCAGUCUAUCAACUUCUUAACAAAGAAAAUGAAAAGGUCUUACCAACUCAGUGUCCUGCCCAUCUUGUAUACAACACUGCCAAAAAGCAUUGUGAUUCGUUUAAAUGGAAUAUUGAGACUUUCAUAAUGAACGUGUUUGGUCACUUUUCAGUUUCCUCAAAAUGUGCAGAAGCACUUACUGAGAUUUUUGACUUUAUAGACAUGGAAGGAGAUCACCUCUUUAGACAAGUGCCUACAAGAUGGAUGCCGUUGCUCCCAGCCAUAGAAAGAAUGCUAAAGUGUUGGCCUGCCAUAAAAUCCUGUUUUCAAAGUGUGGGACAGGAAGAAUGUCCUUCUUUGAUUUGGAAAUAGAUUGAGGGUGAGAAUGGAGAAAAGGAUUACAGUAAAACAGAAGUUUAUAUUCUGUUUCUCCAGAACUGUUUGAUGAUCUUUGGAGAGGCCAUAAAGAGCCUAGAAAAGGAGGAGCUGACCGCACCUGAGCUGUUUGAUAUUAUAUAUAGGUUGAGACAAAAACUCACACAGCAGAAAAAUGAUUCGUUUUUCGGAAAUAAGACUGCUUCAGAGUUAAAAAAA
This is a long non-coding RNA of Hipposideros armiger (great roundleaf bat), 2388 nucleotides long. RefSeq lists it as uncharacterized. The record is from RefSeq and is a predicted model, not a curated record. Lineage: Eukaryota; Metazoa; Chordata; Mammalia; Chiroptera; Hipposideridae. The transcript has 3 exons.